UACGGUUACCUUGUUACCACUUCACCCCAGUCGCUGACCUUACCGUGGCCUGCUGCCUCCUAAGUUAGCACACAGUCUUCGGGUAAAACCAACUCCCAUGGUGUGACGGGCGGUGUGUACAAGGCCCGGGAACGUAUUCCCCGUGGCAUGCUGAUCCACGAUUACUAGCGAUUCCAACUUCAUGCUCUCGAGUUGCAGAGAACAAUCCGAACUGAGACGGCUUUUGGAGAUUAGCUCCUCAUUGCUGAGUGGCUGCUCACUGUCACCGCCAUUGUAGCACGUGUGUAGCCCAGCCCGUAAGGGCCAUGAUGAUUUGACGUCAUCCCCACCUUCCUCCGGCUUAUCACCGGCAGUCCCUCUAGAGUGCCCAACUUAAUGCUGGCAACUAAAGGCGAGGGUUGCGCUCGUUGCGGGACUUAACCCAACAUCUCACGACACGAGCUGACGACAACCAUGCAGCACCUGUAUCCAAUCCAGCCGAACUGAAGGAAAGCAUCUCUGCUAUCCGCGAUUGGUAUGUCAAGGGCUGGUAAGGUUCUUCGCGUUGCCUCGAAUUAAACCACAUGCUCCACCGCUUGUGCGGGCCCCCGUCAAUUUCUUUGAGUUUUAGUCUUGCGACCGUAGUCCCCAGGCGGGGUGCUUAACGCGUUAGCUGCGUCACAAACAGCAUGCUGUCUGACAACUAGCACCCAUCGUUUA
This 699-nucleotide ribosomal RNA is filed under the name uncultured bacterium. Its description in RNAcentral is "partial 16S ribosomal RNA". The record is from RNAcentral.